GAGCAGCUGCAUAUGACCGCAGAGGUCCAACCCUGAACAGUUGGGGCAAAAAUGGACACAAUAUUCAAGCUUGAUUCAGGUCUGAAUUUGGAUUGUAAUUAAAUAUUUGACAUAUUAUAGGUUUCUGAAUAAAUUUAGUCAAAGAACUUGAAAUUGGUUAUAUGGAUUGAAUUUAUAUUCAAUUAAAGAUUUCGUGCUGUUGUGCAAUACACUGUGCUUUUGCGCAAUACUUAGUAAAUCUGUUGUCAGACUAUAAAGAAAUAAAGUUCAAUUAAUUCUCAAUGUCAUAUUAGAAAUUUAUGAAAAUGUACAUCAAUAGAUAUAAACAAUUCACCAAAGUUUCAUGAAAAUUGCUGACAGCAUUUUUGAGUUAUUGUCCGAAAACUGGAAAAUCCCCCUUUUUUAAUAAAUUAAACCCCAUAACUCAGAAAUGAUAAAUGAAAAAUUUAUAAAAUUCUAAACGGAGCUUACAUCAAUAGUUAUAAACAAUUCACCAAAGUUUCGUAAGAACUGCUGAAGUUAUUGUCCAUAAACUGGAAAAUCCCCCCUUUUUUAAUGAAUAAAACCCCAUAACUCAGAAAUGAUAAAUGAAAAAUUUAUAAAAUUCUAAAAGGAGCUUACAUCAACAGAUAUAAACAAUUCAACAAAGUUUCAGAAGAACUGCUGAAAGCAUUUUUGAUUUUUUGUCGGAAAACUGGAAAAUCCCCCUUUUUUUAUGAAUAAAACCCUGUAACUCAGAAACGUAAAAUCUAAAAUUUAUAAAAAUUGAAAGGGAGCUCAUGUCAAUAGAUAUAAACAAUUCACCACAAUUUCUUGCAAGUUGGUGAAAGCAUCCUUGAGUUAUUGUCAGAAAACUGGAAAAUCCCCCUUUUUUUAAUGAAUAAAACCCCAUAACUCGGAAACGUAAAAUCUAAAA
Mytilus californianus (California mussel) is the source of this 916-nucleotide long non-coding RNA. RefSeq lists it as uncharacterized. NCBI's taxonomy places the organism in Eukaryota, Metazoa, Mollusca, Bivalvia, Mytilida, Mytilidae. The record is from RefSeq and is a predicted model, not a curated record. The transcript is spliced from 2 exons.